RNAcentral lists this unclassified non-coding RNA (564 nucleotides) under Hevea brasiliensis (rubber tree). The record is from RNAcentral. Lineage: Eukaryota; Viridiplantae; Streptophyta; Magnoliopsida; Malpighiales; Euphorbiaceae.
UGAGAAAGGACUCUCUCACAUACAUGAGAGAUGGGCAUUCAGUCUUCGAAACCAGUACAUAAGAAAGAUAGUUGGGAUAUGGCGGGACAAAAACUAGUAAAAGCUUCAGAGUAAUACUACUGUAUCAUCUGAUCUGAUUUGAUCUCUUCUUCACCUCAGACUUCAGUCCCGGAGUCUCGAGGAGCGUUGCAUCGGAAGCAUUCCAUCCUACUAGCAAAGUUGUGCUCAUUGCAGCCCAUCCUUGUACAAAUCCAGUCACCAGACUUCCACCCAGCGCGGCCACCGCCGCCACCACCACCGCCACCACCGAACCCAAACCCCCGUCGCGGCAAGUCACCAUCAAACCCACCACCGCCGACCGCAGCAGACUCAUCCUUGAAGGACCCACACUUGAAGCAGCUGGAGCGACUCGCAAAGUUAUGCGCGCCGCAGGUGCAGUACCAGUCGCCGGGCCUCACGUCGGCGCCGGUGCCGCCGAACCCAAACGAGCUCCCGCCGCCCCAUCCAGCGCCGAACCCAACAAACUCACUCCGGCCGUCGAGGCCCGUCUUCGGAUCCCCGCAG